UACGGAGGGAGCUAGCGUUAUCCGGAUUUACUGGGUUUAAAGGGUGCGUAGGCGGACCAUCAAGUCAGUGGUGAAAGCUUCUCGCUUAACGGGAAAAUUGCCAUUGAUACUGUUGGUCUUGAGUUCAGUUGAGGUAGGCGGAAUGUAGCAUGUAGCGGUGAAAUGCAUAGAUAUGCUACAGAACACCGAUUGCGAAGGCAGCUUACUAAACUGUUACUGACGCUGAGGCACGAAAGCGUGGGGAGCGAACAGG
This 253-nucleotide unclassified non-coding RNA is filed under the name uncultured Chitinophagales bacterium. RNAcentral describes it as "contains 16S-23S intergenic spacer region". It matches the Rfam family "Bacterial small subunit ribosomal RNA", at positions 524 to 776 of the family's 1533-position model. The record is from RNAcentral. Lineage: Bacteria; Pseudomonadati; Bacteroidota; Chitinophagia; Chitinophagales.